UACGUAGGGUGCGAGCGUUAAUCGGAAUUACUGGGCGUAAAGCGUGCGCAGGCGGUUUUGUAAGCCAGAUGUGAAAUCCCCGGGCUUAACCUGGGAAUGGCAUUUGGGACUGCAAGGCUGGAGUGCGGCAGAGGGGGAUGGGAAUUCCGCGUGUAGCAGUGAAAUGCGUAGAUAUGCGGAGGAACACCGAUGGCGAAGGCAAUCCCCUGGGCCUGCACUGACGCUCAUGCACGAAAGCGUGGGGAGCAAACAGG
RNAcentral lists this ribosomal RNA (254 nucleotides) under uncultured bacterium. RNAcentral's name for it is "partial 16S ribosomal RNA". It matches the Rfam family "Bacterial small subunit ribosomal RNA", at positions 524 to 776 of the family's 1533-position model. The record is from RNAcentral.